GUCCACGCCCUAAACGAUGUCGACUAGUUGUUCGGGAAGGUGACUUCUUGAGUAACGUAGCUAACGCGUGAAGUCGACCGCCUGGGGAGUACGGCCGCAAGGUUAAAACUCAAAGGAAUUGACGGGGACCCGCACAAGCGGUGGAUGAUGUGGAUUAAUUCGAUGCAACGCGAAAAACCUUACCUACCCUUGACAUGCCUGGAAGUCUGCAGAGAUGCGGAUGUGCCUUCGGGAACCAGGACACAGGUGCUGCAUGGCUGUCGU
Molecule: ribosomal RNA, 264 nt
Filed under: uncultured bacterium
Lineage: Bacteria
Description: partial 16S ribosomal RNA
Rfam family: Bacterial small subunit ribosomal RNA
Source: RNAcentral